RNAcentral lists this long non-coding RNA (1253 nucleotides) under Homo sapiens (human). Its description in RNAcentral is "long intergenic non-protein coding RNA 1345". The record is from RNAcentral. Lineage: Eukaryota; Metazoa; Chordata; Mammalia; Primates; Hominidae.
GAGGGACGGAUGAAAGGAAAUCAAGGAAGAUUUUCAGAGGGCAGGUGGGGGGAGGCUGGGGACCUUCCUGUGGGGGCACAAAUCUUGUCCUGUCACUGGAGGAUGCACACAGCUCAUGGAGACCACGUCAACCACCGGCCUAAGGAAAGCAGCGGGAAAGCUGUGAGUUGAAGCCAGAGAUGAAUCCAUGCUCAACCUGUGUGUGGCAGACUCCUAAGUACUUGCUAGGGAGGGUCCUCAAAACCAGCUCCAGGUCCUCAAAAUUAGUGUACAAGCUGUGGACACCACAGAGCAAAGCCACUGCUCAGAGAAAGCACACAUCCUGGUUGCUAUGUCUUCCAUGCACGGGGCCCUCACUAUGGACCAGACACUCCUAAGGGCCAUGCACCCUGUACGAUAUCUGAUCCCCCAUCUACCUUCCCUUUACAGAAAGUGUGACGCGGCUUAAGCAGCUUGUCUGAGUUUGCACAGCUGGCAAAUGGCUGAGCCAUGACUCACACCCAGGUCCAUCCACCGCCAAAGCUCCAGAUCUCUGGCAUCCUUCUAAGGUCAGAAAGGGAAAGAAAUCCCUAAUAAGGAGCCUGUGUGACGGCGUGCCCCCCUCCACUUUCCCACCCCUGCCAAGGACCCGUUUGAAGGCUGUUCACGCCAGUCACUGCAAUCACCAUUGAGCACAGAGAUGACAGUUCCAGCAAGCACUGACCUUCCAGCCCACUCUGCGGAGGAGAAGACUGAGGGGCAGAGAGGCUGUUGAUUUGCUGCAGUUGACUCUGACCCUAAUUUCCCGGCGCUGACUCAAACUCAUCAGGAACACUGCUUUCACUGAGUGUAUGAAGUGGUUUCUCCAUCCGUGUGGCUUUACCUGAACUCACACCGGUCCCACGGCCCAGGUGUGGAGCCGAGCACUCCCCUCUGCCUCCUCCCUGGACUGCAGGACCUGUGUCUCGCUUUAUGAAAGAGAUGCCAUUUGGGGAAGACUCGCAUUGUCGGGAGCGCUGUGGACGCUCCAGAAGGAGAUCAACACGAUGAUGACGAUGCCGGGUGGAGGGAAUGUGCACUUCUCGGGAGCCAGAAAAGAAUAAUCUGAAUGUCUCCAGCAUCAAGAAAAGACCAGUAUUGAAGGUGAUGGAUGCCUUAAUUACGCUGAUUGGAUCUUUACAAAUUAUAUUAAUGUAUUAAAUUAUUACAUGUAUGCAGAAAGUCUGUACACCUAUUAUGCACCAAUAAAAAAGAAAUUUUUUAAAGUGAGCAAA